UACCCCCAAGAACCACUCUUUUAAACAGAGUUAUCUUAGAAGUGAGUACAGCAGGAGGGUGAGGAUACGCCAAAAGCCGAUACAAUAUUCAUAUCUGGUGGAAAAUACAGAAAAAAUAGGUGCUUCCUCUGCAAAGCAGUAUGUGGUAGUUUACUUAAAAUAUUUUUGUAGUAAUAAUAGAAAGUUGACAGAUUAUAUGACAUCUCUGCAGAGGGAAAGACUUGAGUGCAAGUAGAGAAGGAGAUCUUUGCAGUGCAUAUCAUUUCUGCCUAUAUGAAGAUUUCAACCAUGGUUCUUUUUAAGGAGAAGCUCUGGCUUUCCACAUGCUUUGAAAAGCACUGGCAAAAUCUGCAGAACAAAUAGUUUAGGUUUCUUUAGUGUUUGUGUUAUGACCUUAAAGGGCACAGUUUUUGAGUGUUUUAUUCAGAGUUCAAUGGCUACUUCAUGCUACAGCCAAUUCUAAGACAAUGCUUUCUGGA
This is a long non-coding RNA of Strigops habroptila (Kakapo), 479 nucleotides long. RefSeq lists it as uncharacterized. Lineage: Eukaryota; Metazoa; Chordata; Aves; Psittaciformes; Psittacidae. The record is from RefSeq and is a predicted model, not a curated record. The transcript has 2 exons.